UACGAAGGGGGCUAGCGUUGUUCGGAAUUACUGGGCGUAAAGCGCACGUAGGCGGAUUUGUUAGUCAGGGGUGAAAUCCCGGGGCUCAACCUCGGAACUGCCUUUGAUACUGCAAAUCUCGAGUCCGAUAGAGGUGGGUGGAAUUCCUAGUGUAGAGGUGAAAUUCGUAGAUAUUAGGAAGAACACCGGUGGCGAAGGCGGCCCACUGGAUCGGUACUGACGCUGAGGUGCGAAAGCGUGGGGAGCAAACAGG
RNAcentral lists this ribosomal RNA (253 nucleotides) under uncultured bacterium. Its description in RNAcentral is "partial 16S ribosomal RNA". It matches the Rfam family "Bacterial small subunit ribosomal RNA", at positions 524 to 776 of the family's 1533-position model. The record is from RNAcentral.